AUAUUACUAAGGGGAGGAAAAGAAACUAACAAGGAUUCCCCCAGUAACGGCGAGUGAAGCGGGAACAGCUCAAAUUUGAAAUCUCAGAGGGCAACCUCUGCGAAUUGUAGUUUAGAGAAGCGUUUUCGGGGGCGGCCUGGGUAUAAGUCCUUUGGAACAAGGCAUCAUAGAGGGUGAGAAUCCCGUUUAUGACCCAGUGUCUGCUUUUAUGUGAUACGCUUUCCAAGAGUCAGGUAGUUUGGGAUUGCUGCCUAAAAUGGGUGGUAAAUACCAUCUAAAGCUAAAUAUUGGCGAGAGACCGAUAGCGCACAAGUA
This 315-nucleotide ribosomal RNA is filed under the name uncultured Spizellomycetales. RNAcentral's name for it is "partial large subunit ribosomal RNA". It matches the Rfam family "Eukaryotic large subunit ribosomal RNA", at positions 40 to 350 of the family's 3401-position model. Lineage: Eukaryota; Fungi; Chytridiomycota; Chytridiomycetes; Spizellomycetales. The record is from RNAcentral.